RNAcentral lists this ribosomal RNA (253 nucleotides) under uncultured bacterium. RNAcentral describes it as "partial 16S ribosomal RNA". It matches the Rfam family "Bacterial small subunit ribosomal RNA", at positions 524 to 776 of the family's 1533-position model. The record is from RNAcentral.
UACGUAGGGUGCGAGCGUUAAUCGGAAUUACUGGGCGUAAAGGGUGCGCAGGCGGUUCUGUAAGUCAGAUGUGAAAUCCCCGGGCUUAACCUGGGAACUGCGUUUGAAACUACAGGACUAGAGUGUGGCAGAGGGGGGUGGAAUUCCAUGUGUAGCAGUGAAAUGCGUAGAGAUAUGGAAGAACAUCGAUGGCGAAGGCAGCCCCCUGGGUUAACACUGACGCUCAUGCACGAAAGCGUGGGGAGCAAACAGG